RNAcentral lists this ribosomal RNA (205 nucleotides) under uncultured bacterium. RNAcentral's name for it is "partial 16S ribosomal RNA". It matches the Rfam family "Bacterial small subunit ribosomal RNA", at positions 1296 to 1500 of the family's 1533-position model. The record is from RNAcentral.
GAUUGCAGGCUGCAACCCGCCCUGCAUGAAGUCGGAAUUGCUAGUAAUCGCGGAUCAGCAUGCCGCGGUGAAUACGUUCCCGGGCCUUGUACACACCGCCCGUCACACCAUGGGAGCCGGUAAUACCCGAAGUCAGUAGUCCAACCACGUGAGGACGCUGCCGAAGGUAGGAUUGGCGACUGGGGUGAAGUCGUAACAAGGUAGC